RNAcentral lists this ribosomal RNA (253 nucleotides) under uncultured bacterium. RNAcentral's name for it is "partial 16S ribosomal RNA". It matches the Rfam family "Bacterial small subunit ribosomal RNA", at positions 524 to 776 of the family's 1533-position model. The record is from RNAcentral.
UACAGAGGUCUCAACCGUUGUUCGGAUUCAUUGGGCGUAAAGGGUGCGUAGGCGGUCGCGCAAGUCGGAUGUGAAAUCUCAGGGCCCAACCCUGAAACUGCAUUCGAUACGGGCUAGCUAGAGUGUGGUAGGGGAGAUCGGAAUUCCUGGUGUAGCGGUGAAAUGCGCAGAUAUCGGGAAGAACACCCGUGGCGAAGGCGGCUCUCUGGGACGGUACUGACGCUGAGACGCGAAAGCGUGGGGAGCGAACAGG